RNAcentral lists this long non-coding RNA (199 nucleotides) under Coffea arabica (coffee). Its description in RNAcentral is "long non-coding RNA (CARA_LNC004632)". The record is from RNAcentral. Lineage: Eukaryota; Viridiplantae; Streptophyta; Magnoliopsida; Gentianales; Rubiaceae.
GUGUCAACAGUGUAGCAUCUUGAAUUUGAGUGCUUGUGCCUUCACCUCCUUCACAUUGCUCAGAAGUAUGCUGAUGUGAGUCCCUAUCGGGCGUAAACUCUGGAAAAGUCACAGGGGACCUAGAAUGCCCAAUCAAUACACCUCUCUCAUGCAUGACUUCGGUCUGAGGUGUGACAAAAGUAGAUGCGCCAGCUUGGUC